RNAcentral lists this ribosomal RNA (253 nucleotides) under uncultured bacterium. RNAcentral's name for it is "partial 16S ribosomal RNA". It matches the Rfam family "Bacterial small subunit ribosomal RNA", at positions 524 to 776 of the family's 1533-position model. The record is from RNAcentral.
UACGUAGGGUGCGAGCGUUGUCCGGAAUUAUUGGGCGUAAAGAGCUCGUAGGCGGCUUGUUGCGUCGGAUGUGAAAGCCCGGGGCUUAACUCCGGGUCUGCAUUCGAUACGGGCAGGCUAGAGUUCGGUAGGGGAGAUCGGAAUUCCUGGUGUAGCGGUGAAAUGCGCAGAUAUCAGGAGGAACACCGGUGGCGAAGGCGGGUCUCUGGGCCGAUACUGACGCUGAGGAGCGAAAGCGUGGGGAGCGAACAGG